UUUAAUUGAAGAGUUUGAUCAUGGCUCAGAUUGAACGCUGGCGGCAGGCCUAACACAUGCAAGUCGAGCGGUAACAUUUCAAAAGCUUGCUUUUGAAGAUGACG
Molecule: ribosomal RNA, 104 nt
Filed under: Shewanella algae
Lineage: Bacteria; Pseudomonadati; Pseudomonadota; Gammaproteobacteria; Alteromonadales; Shewanellaceae
Description: partial 16S ribosomal RNA
Rfam family: Bacterial small subunit ribosomal RNA
Source: RNAcentral